CCUACGGGUGGCUGCAGUGGGGAAUAUUGGACAAUGGGGGCAACCCUGAUCCAGCCAUGCCGCGUGUGUGAAGAAGGCCCUCGGGUUGUAAAGCACUUUCAGUGAGGAAGAACGCCUGGUGGUUAAUACCCAUCAGGAAAGACAUCACUCACAGAAGAAGCACCGGCUAACUCCGUGCCAGCAGCCGCGGUAAUACGGAGGGUGCGAGCGUUAAUCGGAAUUACUGGGCGUAAAGCGCGCGUAGGUGGCUUGAUAAGCCGGUUGUGAAAGCCCCGGGCUCAACCUGGGAACGGCAUCCGGAACUGUCAAGCUAGAGUGCAGGAGAGGAAGGUAGAAUUCCCGGUGUAUCGGUGAAAUGCGUAGAGAUCGGGAGGAAUACCAGUGGCGAAGGCGGCCUUCUGGACUGACACUGACACUGAGGUGCGAAAGCGUGGGUAGCAAACAGGAUUAGAUACCCUAGUAGUC
RNAcentral lists this ribosomal RNA (465 nucleotides) under Vreelandella stevensii. RNAcentral's name for it is "partial 16S ribosomal RNA". It matches the Rfam family "Bacterial small subunit ribosomal RNA", at positions 338 to 795 of the family's 1533-position model. Lineage: Bacteria; Pseudomonadati; Pseudomonadota; Gammaproteobacteria; Oceanospirillales; Halomonadaceae. The record is from RNAcentral.